This is a long non-coding RNA of Bolinopsis microptera, 1377 nucleotides long. RefSeq lists it as uncharacterized. The record is from RefSeq and is a predicted model, not a curated record. The transcript has 5 exons. Lineage: Eukaryota; Metazoa; Ctenophora; Tentaculata; Lobata; Bolinopsidae.
UUUUCUAGAAAUGACUAUAAUGUGACUAUUGCAUUGGAUAGAGUUUUCCAAUGGCAUUGUUUUCUACCUAUCUGACCUAUGUUGAGUUUCGCCAAGACUUGACGGGACCAUCACAUCUUUUGACCACCCCAAAGUCUCACUCGUUGCGCCAACACAGCAGAGAGUUCGUGAGGAGGGGCCUAUAUCCCUGAUCAGCGGCUUAUCCUUUCGUCCACCACAACACUAACUCACACAGUAACUGAUGACAAUCCUUUCCAACUAAUGCUCACUGAAUUUAUCCUUAGCGCUUCUGUUGACACAGCAUGGCACCAGGGACGGAUCCAGUGAUCCACUAACUUUUCCUAAACAGUAUCGAAAGAUUGAUCUAGAAGCUUUGACAGAGUUUUAGCUCUUUAUGUCUGCCACAUUGACUUUCUGAUGAAUAAAGGAAAAAAUCGUAGGUGAUAAGGUGACGUUUGCAGAGCGGCGUCUAUUAAAUAUCAUACCUUUAUGUUUGAAGCUGAGACCGGCGAUAGUUUUAGUAAGGGAGGGCUCCUGCAGAGAUCAAUUCACGGACGCUAAUGUUGCCUUGAAUUAUAGUAUGAUAACCGACAGAGUGACGUUUGCAGAGCGGCGUCUAUUGAAUAUCAUACCUUUAUGUUUGAAGCUGAGACCGGCGAUAUUCCUAAGUAAUACGGCAGAUGAAGACACAAGUUUUAGUAAGGGAGGGCUCCUGCAGAGAUCAAUUCACGGACGCUAAUGUUGCCUUGAAUUAGAGUAUGAUAACCGACAGAGAUCAAGUCAAAGUCAGGCCUGCAGCGACGAGCCCCUUUCUUUCGGAUUGUGAAGUGUAAUGUUAAUGUUUAAUGUAGCUGUUUAACGUCGAAAAUUGUUAGUUUGUAAUUGUUUUUGAGAAGCAAAAUAAUUAAUCUGAGAAGUGUUUCCAGUUUUUUAAAGCUCAGGCAUGGGCACCGUAUUGUUUAUUUAGUUAUAUUUUAUACAAUAUCUUUGACCUUUGUCGCAUUAAGUUGUAGUACUACUACUAGUAGCGGGGUAGUACUAGUAAAUACUGAAUACUGUGUUUCGUUUAUUCUAUAAGUAUAUAAAUAUUGCAUUGUGUAUCUUUGUUGCAUAGUACAUAGUAUAAGUUGAUAAGUAGCGAGGUAGUUAAUACUGUUUCGUGAUGUAUUUUGAUUGUACAAUCUUAAUUAUUCGUAUUAUUAUACCGCAAUUCCUGUAUUUUAUCGUCUAAAAGUGAACAAUACCAAAUUAAAAUAAACAAGAGGCAUUUAUAGCCUUCGAUAAGUAUAAAUAAUCGCACACGAUGUACGUGCACCCGGGGUUAAAUACGACGCAAUUGUCAGCACUGCGCGCGCGCACACGUACCAUCUUAUGUGU